Non-coding RNA from Microthyrium microscopicum, 87 nucleotides. The record is from the annotation of a GenBank genome assembly. NCBI's taxonomy places the organism in Eukaryota, Fungi, Ascomycota, Dothideomycetes, Microthyriales, Microthyriaceae.
GCUUGUGGUCUAGUGGUAUGAUUCUUCCUUAGGGUAUUUUACUUCCCGAUCUUGGAAGAGGCCCCGUGUUCGAGUCACGGCAAGACC